CUUUGAAGAGAGAGUUCCAGAGUACGUGAAACCGUUCAGGGGUAAACCUGAGAAACCCGAAAGGUCGAAAGGGGAGAUUCAACGCGAAUCGGAGUUCGCGAGCGGCGCGUGCCGACGACGGGCCGUACCGUUUCGGUGGCUGGCCCGCUCCGCGCGUCGAACGAUCGGACACUGAACGCGUGCACUUCUCCUCCUGUAGGACGUCGCGACCCGUUGGGCGCCGGCCUAAGGACCGCGGUGGAGACCGGACUCGCCCCCGGGCGAGUGCGGACCCGCGGCCACCCGGCCGGUCCGACCGACGGUAUAACUAAGGCGCGGGGCCGCGAUUCGUUCGCGUCCGGCACGUCACAAGCGCGAACGGUUAAAGCGGGCCGUUCGGGCCUCGUACCGGAUCCCGACCCGUUCGGNUGUUAGCGGCGCAGUCCUCGGACAGACCCCGCGCCAGUCCGCGGCGCUAUAGCUUUGGGUACUUUCAGGACCCGUCUUGA
Molecule: ribosomal RNA, 488 nt
Filed under: Phanaeus howdeni
Lineage: Eukaryota; Metazoa; Arthropoda; Insecta; Coleoptera; Scarabaeidae
Description: eukaryotic LSU rRNA
Source: RNAcentral